UUAGCUCUUAUUUGUAUGGAAUGGGAUCGUUUGCGUAUGUUUGCCGCUGGGGCACUGUUCCAAUUGCAUACAAAAUUAGCUUA
RNAcentral lists this microRNA precursor (83 nucleotides) under Bombyx mori (domestic silkworm). Its description in RNAcentral is "mir-2807 microRNA precursor family". It matches the Rfam family "mir-2807 microRNA precursor family". Lineage: Eukaryota; Metazoa; Arthropoda; Insecta; Lepidoptera; Bombycidae. The record is from Rfam by way of RNAcentral.